Molecule: ribosomal RNA, 478 nt
Filed under: uncultured bacterium
Lineage: Bacteria
Description: partial 16S ribosomal RNA
Rfam family: Bacterial small subunit ribosomal RNA
Source: RNAcentral
GAUGAACGCUGGCGGCGUGCUUAACACAUGCAAGUCGAACGAGAAGUGGAGACGGAAACCUUCGGGCGGAAGACUUUAUUUCGAGUGGCGGACGGGUGAGUAACGCGUGGGUAACCUGCCUCAUACAGGGGGAUAACAGUUGGAAACGACUGUUAAUACCGCAUAAGACCACAGCACCGCAUGGUGCGGGGGUAAAAACUCCGGUGGUAUGAGAUGGACCCGCGUUCGAUUAGCCAGUUGGCGGGGUAACGGCCCACCAAAGCGACGAUCGAUAGCCGAUCUGAGAGGAUGACCGGCCACAUUGGGACUGAGACACGGCCCAAACUCCUACGGGAGGCAGCAGUGGGGAAUAUUGCACAAUGGGGGAAACCCUGAUGCAGCGACGCCGCGUGAGUGAAGAAGUAUUUCGGCAUGUAAAGCUCUAUCAGCAGGGAAGAAAAUGACGGUACCUGAGGAAGAAGCCCCGGCUAACUACGUG